Molecule: transfer RNA, 75 nt
Filed under: Microcaldota archaeon
Lineage: Archaea; Nanobdellati; Microcaldota
Description: tRNA-Ile
Rfam family: tRNA
About the family: Transfer RNA (tRNA) molecules are approximately 80 nucleotides in length. Their secondary structure includes four short double-helical elements and three loops (D, anti-codon, and T loops).
Source: RNAcentral
GGGCUCGUAGCUCAGCAUGGUUAGAGCGCUGGUCUUAUAAGCCAGAUGUCGUGAGUUCAAAUCUCACCGGGCCCA